CCGCAUAACGUCGCAAGACCAAAGAGGGGGACCUUCGGGCCUCUUGCCAUCGGAUGUGCCCAGAUGGGAUUAGCUAGUAGGUGGGGUAACGGCUCACCUAGGCGACGAUCCCUAGCUGGUCUGAGAGGAUGACCAGCCACACUGGAACUGAGACACGGUCCAGACUCCUACGGGAGGCAGCAGUGGGGAAUAUUGCACAAUGGGCGCAAGCCGGAUGCAGCCAUGCCGCGUGUAUGAAGAAGGCCUUCGGGUUGUAAAGUACUUUCAGCGGGGAGGAAGGCGAUAAGGUUAAUAACCUUG
This 300-nucleotide ribosomal RNA is filed under the name uncultured Enterobacteriaceae bacterium. RNAcentral describes it as "bacterial SSU rRNA". It matches the Rfam family "Bacterial small subunit ribosomal RNA", at positions 169 to 471 of the family's 1533-position model. The record is from RNAcentral. Lineage: Bacteria; Pseudomonadati; Pseudomonadota; Gammaproteobacteria; Enterobacterales; Enterobacteriaceae.